Gavia stellata (red-throated loon) is the source of this 581-nucleotide long non-coding RNA. RefSeq lists it as uncharacterized. The record is from RefSeq and is a predicted model, not a curated record. The transcript has 3 exons. Lineage: Eukaryota; Metazoa; Chordata; Aves; Gaviiformes; Gaviidae.
CCCCGGCACAGAGCUGCCUGUGCGCGCAGGAAGGGCCCCGCCGCCGGGACGGCCAGGCCAUAACCCUCGAUUUGCCCCUGCCUUAACCAAGGAGCUUGAGGAGCAGCAGAAGAGGCAGCGUGUGCCCUGUUUGCAGUGCUGAAAUAACACCGAGUCACUUCAGCGUAAACGGAUGAGUGCGGAUAGUGCCCCGCUACACGGUGGGGCUGUACCAAGAUCAGUGCUAGCAGGGCCACAGAAACCGGCACGCAGACAGCAUCAAGAGAUAAUGGGAUUUGUCACACCAACGCUAAACGGAGACUAAGCUUCAACCCUUCAUGUGAAACUGUUGAAAGAGGAAGCUGCAGUCAGUGCUUGACUGCACGAGACCACACCCCUCUCAGAGGGCAAAUGAUGUCUUACUUCAAAAACUUUAUGAAAUGCAAAGUCAGUUAAAUCCUUUCAAGUUUCUUCUUUGCAACGCAACAAUAAACCAGUGACUGACUUUUCUUAGAGCUGUUACUUGAAUAAUUGAGGAGAGGGAAAGCUAAGGUUCCUGCUAAGUUCUUUUUAUUCUUGCUCUGGAUGAUCUGAACAUCUUC